This 253-nucleotide ribosomal RNA is filed under the name uncultured bacterium. Its description in RNAcentral is "partial 16S ribosomal RNA". It matches the Rfam family "Bacterial small subunit ribosomal RNA", at positions 524 to 776 of the family's 1533-position model. The record is from RNAcentral.
UACGGGGGGAGCAAGCGUUGUUCGGAAUCACUGGGCGUAAAGCGCACGCAGGCGGAUUGAUAAGUCGGGGGUGAAAUCCCGGGGCUCAACCUCGGAAUUGCCUUCGAUACUGUCUGUCUUGAGUCCGGGAGAGGUGAGUGGAAUUCCUAGUGUAGAGGUGAAAUUCGUAGAUAUUAGGAAGAACACCAGUGGCGAAGGCGGCUCACUGGCCCGGUACUGACGCUCAUGUGCGAAAGCGUGGGGAGCAAACAGG